AUGUGUGUGGACUAUACGGACUUAAACAAGGCCUGUCAGGCUGAUCCUUUUGCUCUCCCUCAUAUUGAUCAGAUCAUUGAUGCUAUGGCGGGCUGUGAGCGUUUGAGUUUUUUGGAUGCUUAUUCUGGUUAUCAUCAGAUCAAGAUGGCAGUUAAGGACCAGGAGAAGACAACUUUUAUCACUCCCUUUAGAGCCUUCUACUAUGUGUCUAUGCCUUUUGGGCUCAAGAGUGCCCAGGUGACUUACCAGCGAUGUGUGCAGAAUUGCCUUCACAAUCAGAUUGGGUGCAAUGUUCAUGCUUAUGUGGAUGAUAUUGUGGUGAAAUCCAGAGAGAAGGAAACUUUGAUAAAUGAUUUGAAGGAGACCUUCAACAAUCUCCAGGUCUACAAGAUGAUGCUUAACCCAGCCAAGUGCGUUUUUGGUGUGCCGGCACGCAAGCUCUUGGGUUUUCUGGUUUCUAACAGAGGCAUCAAAGCUAACCCGGAGAAGAUCAAGGCAAUUACCUCCUUGGCAAAGCUGACGUGUAUCAAUGAUGUUCAACGUCUGGCGGGUCGUAUUGCUGCCUUAAGCCGUUUCAUAAGCCGGUUGGGUGAGAAGGCUAUACCACUGUACCAGAUGAUGAAGAAAACAGAUGACUUUGUCUGGAGUGAUGCUGCUAAUGAC
RNAcentral lists this ribosomal RNA (663 nucleotides) under Triticum aestivum (bread wheat). Its description in RNAcentral is "partial small subunit ribosomal RNA". The record is from RNAcentral. Lineage: Eukaryota; Viridiplantae; Streptophyta; Magnoliopsida; Poales; Poaceae.